This 468-nucleotide ribosomal RNA is filed under the name uncultured bacterium. RNAcentral describes it as "partial 16S ribosomal RNA". It matches the Rfam family "Bacterial small subunit ribosomal RNA", at positions 28 to 507 of the family's 1533-position model. The record is from RNAcentral.
GACGAACGCUGGCGGCGUGCUUAACACAUGCAAGUCGAACGGAAAGGCCCUGCUUUUGUGGGUUGCUCGAGUGGCGAACGGGUGAGUAACACGUGAGUAACCUGCCCUUGACUUUGGGAUAACUUCAGGAAACUGGGGCUAAUACCGGAUAGGAUCUCCUGCUGCAUGGUGGGGGUUGGAAAGUUUCGGCGGUUGGGGAUGGACUCGCGGCUUAUCAGCUUGUUGGUGGGGUAGUGGCUUACCAAGGCUUUGACGGGUAGCCGGCCUGAGAGGGUGACCGGCCACAUUGGGACUGAGAUACGGCCCAGACUCCUACGGGAGGCAGCAGUGGGGAAUAUUGCACAAUGGGCGGAAGCCUGAUGCAGCAACGCCGCGUGCGGGAUGACGGCCUUCGGGUUGUAAACCGCUUUCGCCUGUGACGAAGCGUGAGUGACGGUAAUGGGUAAAGAAGCACCGGCUAACUACGUG